Molecule: long non-coding RNA, 964 nt
Organism: Dendrobium catenatum
Lineage: Eukaryota; Viridiplantae; Streptophyta; Magnoliopsida; Asparagales; Orchidaceae
Exons: 2
Source: RefSeq, a predicted model, not a curated record
CAAACCUCAUCUCUUGAAACUGCUCCCCCACUCACGCACAAAUCCCGAACUUCCCACUCUCUCAUUCACGAACCAGCCCACACAUCAUCUCCUCUCAUAUAGUUCACGUCCAGCCCUCUUUCUAGGGAAUAUACGUCCAGCCCUCCUCUACAAUAUACGUCCAGCCCUCCUCUACAUUACACGCACAGCCUGCCUCUUUUAAUUCGCAAGAAUUCAAGGCAAAAGCUUUGGCUUCUCCGGCUCUCUGUCCUAACGAACCCCAGCCCCAUUUCAUGCAGCCGCUUGCUCUCUCUCCCGCUGAAUCUUCUCUCAAUUCACAAGAAAGCCCCAAGACCGAACCCCCUAGGAAGCUGUAGCCUUUCUCUCAAGCUCCUCUAAUUGACAACGAACUUCGCUGCUGUAAAGGUGACUCCUUUCCCUCCAUUUGAGUAGAAGAGAAUGCUGGAAGUUUUUUAGAAGAAUUUUUUUUGCAGGAACCUUGGAGAACUGCAAAUGCCAAAAAUUGAAAACUAUAUAGGCACUUGAAAUAUGAAAAAUUUCUGCCUUUUCAUCUUUUUACCUUUAUUUUGGGUAGGCGGGUGUAUGUUUGUCUCUAGUCAGUCUGAAAAGAUAAACGGGUUGGGUUGCAAGUCAAAUAAAUAUCCUCGCUUUCCACGUAAGCAUACCACGUAUAAGGAUUUUAUUGGCAUCCGAACAUAGCUCUAUGUCAGGAUUCCACACAUAAUAAUUUCUCUUCAAAUUAAGAAUAAAAAAGAGGGUGAUGUUAGAUUUUUCCACAAGAAAGAGAAGAAUUCUUCUUCUUCUUGUUGCUUCAAGCUCGAGCAAGAAAACGUGAGAUACUUCCCCUGCUAGUUUACUUUUCUUUUUGUUGAGUCAUGGCAUUGUAAGGCUUAGAGGCAAAUGGCCAUGGUAUCUAAAACUAUCAAAGUUUUAUUUAUUCAGUUAAUUCCAUUCUUUUUUUUUU